GCCCUUCUUCCUCUGCGCCCCGUCUCCAGGUCUUCUCUCGUUCGCUUCACUUCCAAAGGCAUUAAAAUCGGAAAAAGGAGAGAAAAAACUCCAAAAUUUUGGCGCUUCCUUUUUCUGUAAAACCCUAAUCAACGAUCCUUUGUUCUUCCUCCGUUCUUCUCCCUCUCUCCGAUUCUCCGAUUUUCCGAUUCCAUUUGGCCGAUCUGUUUCACUUCCCUCACUGUUCUACUUCCUGAAUCUUCUCCUUUCAAGAUCUCUGCGGAUUUCUGAUUUUUGAACCUGCAGUUUAGUAGCUGAACUCUGGCGGUUUUUCGCCGAGUGUAAAUGGCGGAUCCGCCAGGUAUCCGCCAUCUCUCUGCCUUUUGUGAUCUACGUAAAGCUGCGAGUGUUUCUGGUCUUGUUGUUAUUGGUUUUUGUUGCGUUCGAUUCGCGCUCGUAGACUUGCCGUGCUGUGACGAUUGACGAGACUGAAGCAUGCUGAACGUGGUACGCGUGCACCUGCCCUCUGAUAUUCCUAUUGUAGGUUGCGAACUCACGCCCUACGUGCUCCAUCGACGGCCUGAUAAGAACAUUAGCACUGAUGAUGUUUCUGAGUCCGCUGCACUUGGCGGUCAAUUCCUGAGAUACAGAUGGUAUCGCUUACAAAGUGAUAAAAAAGUUGCUGUUUGUAGUGUACAUCCUUCUGAGCAAGCCACUUUACAAUGUUUAGGUUGUGUUAAAGCCAAAAUUCCUGCUUUUAAAAGUUAUCAUUGCACCACCAAAUGCUUUUCCGAUUCUUGGCAGCAUCAUCGUGUUCUACAUGACCGUGCUGCUAGUGCUAUGAAUGAAAAUAGUAAUGAAGAGGAAGAGUUAUUUGGACGUCAUAACAAUAAUAAUAAUGCAGCACCUGGUGCCAUCAACCCCAGCUCUUCUAGCAUGCUCAAUGGUUCAACAACAUUGUACCCUGCAGCUGUUACCCAAAAGACUGGUGUGGAAACUUGGUUAGAGGUUGGACGCUGUAAGAGUUACACACCAACGGCUGAAGAUAUUGGCCACGUUCUUAAGUUUGAAUGUGCCGUGGUUGAUGUGGAAACCAUGUUAUCUGUGGCAUCUCCACUUACUGUCUCAACUUCUCGGGUCAUUCCAGCUCCAUCUCCUACUCCACGUCACUUAAUACCUGUUAAUGGGGUUGAUACGAUGGGAAAGAUGGAUUUGGAUGGUCGAGUAUCAUCAUCAGGAACUUUUACAGUGCUUUCCUACAAUAUUUUGGCUGAUGUUUAUGCCACAAGUGAAACAUUCAGUUAUUGCCCUUCAUGGGCCCUUUCAUGGCCAUAUCGGCGACAAAAUUUGCUUCGGGAAAUAGUUGGCUAUCGUGCAGAUAUAAUUUGUCUUCAGGAGGUUCAGAGCGAUCACUUUCUGGAAUUUUUUGCUCCUGAACUUGACAAACAUGGUUAUCAAGCACUUUACAAGAGAAAAACCAAUGAGGUCUACAAUGGGAACAUUCAAACAAUUGAUGGCUGUGCAACAUUUUUUCGUAGAGAUAGAUUUGCUCAUGUCAAAAAAUAUGAGGUUGAGUUCAACAAAGCUGCACAAUCUUUGACUGACCCAGCUACUAUUUUAACUGCUCAAAAGAGAAAUGCUUUAAACAGAUUAAUCAAGGAUGAUGUUGCACUUAUCGUAGUUCUUGAAUCAAAAUUCAGCACUCCAACGGUUGAUAAUCCAGGAAAAAGGCAGCUUGUUUGCGUGGCUAAUACGCAUAUUAAUGGGAAUCAAGAUUUAAAAGAUGUCAAACUCUGGCAGGUGCAUACUUUAUUGAAAGGACUGGAGAAAAUAGCUGUUAGUGCAGAUAUUCCAAUGUUGGUCUGUGGGGAUUUUAAUUCUGUUCCUGGAAGUGCCCCACAUCAUCUCCUUGCUAGGGGGAAGGUGGAACCAACACAUCCAGAUUUAGCUGUAGAUUCUCUAAAUCUAUGUCAGCCACAUAGCAAAUUGUCACAUCAACUACCUUUGGUUAGUGCAUACUCCUACUUUGCAAUAAAGGGAGUUGGUAACGGUUCAGAUAAGCAGAAGAAAAGGCUGGAUCCUACAACAAAUGAACCCUUAUUUACGAAUUGUACUAGAGAUUUUAUUGGAACCCUGGACUACAUUUUCUACACAGCGGACACUUUAACAGUGGAGUCUUUGUUAGAGCUCCUGGAUGAGGAGAGCUUAAGGAAAGAUACAGCACUUCCAUCCCCAAUAUGGUCCUCCGAUCACACAGCACUCCUUGCCGAGUUUCGGUGCAAAUCUCGAUCUAGACGUUAACCAUGCAUAGUGUAGUUCAGGCGUGGAAGAAAAGCAUCGUAGCAAAGAUGCAGAAGAAAGAAAAGUUUGUGUUUGUUGAGAAAGUAAAUUGAAUAUAGUAGGAAUGGUGGCGGAUCAUGCGGUGUUCAAUGUCCACAGAGGGUGGGAAUGAUAGAUAAAUAUGCAUGCAGUCGGGUUGAUGGACGACUAAUGUAACGUACGAGAGAAGAUUGUGAAAUGCGCUACUAAGUAUAUGACAAAGUUUUGAAAUAAGAAGGUUGGAUAGUUUAAUGCGCCUGAAUUUAAUGUAUUGUGCAGAAGUAUUAGAGAUGGAAGAAAUAACUAGACUAUUUAGAGUUCUCUUA
RNA transcript from Cucurbita pepo subsp. pepo (vegetable marrow), 2624 nucleotides. It is a transcript of the gene named carbon catabolite repressor protein 4 homolog 1, with no coding region annotated. NCBI's taxonomy places the organism in Eukaryota, Viridiplantae, Streptophyta, Magnoliopsida, Cucurbitales, Cucurbitaceae. The record is from RefSeq and is a predicted model, not a curated record.